CUGGGCAUGGUUUUAUUCAGAAACCCCAGCCUAAUCCCUGAUUAGAGAAACAAGAUUUUUCAGGUGUGUUUCUGAGAUGGACUCUUGAAUUAUAAAUAGGAAUUAAUUUUCCAACUAAAUGGUUUCUGAUUUCACUUUAGAUUGUCUCUCUGUGAAUGUUUCACCAGCAAAAUUUUUUCUCUUCCUUCUCCCUGUUGAUUGAGAUGAGUGGGUGUAAGCUGCCUCGAGACUGCCAUCAGAGAGGUCCUUGAAGAUCCAGGCAAAGGAUCAAAGUCUUACUGUGUGAGGCACUGGACACACAUCAUAAAUCUGUAGCCCCAAAGAAGCAGCAGAAUGGGUUUCCACAGACACUUAGGAUAGGAAAUAAUCCCAAGGCUCAUUACUACAUAUAAAUCCCUCAGCCUUCUGGGUUUCCUUCUCUGGAGCCACUGCGAAAAUGGACACAUCAAUACAGCCUUCUGCAGAAAAGCUGACAAUCUCAAAAUGGGCUCAUGCUGCAAAAACUGAAAUCUCCUGCCAGCUCCUAGGAGCCAGCUGCUAUGUGAACUGUUAACAUCCCAGCUCAAAGAGACUGCAGACCAAACAGAAAGUCUUGUUUGGGAAAAUUCUUGAGCCCAAAUGAUUGGAGGAUUACUUUGGAUAAGUAAAGAACUCUGGAUUGGUAAAUUUUGCUGUUAAUCCCCAAGAUAAACUUCAUGAACAUUCACUGCAGAGUAACUUCACUUUUCAUGAACAAGCUGUGGUA
This 745-nucleotide long non-coding RNA is filed under the name Cyanistes caeruleus (blue tit). RNAcentral describes it as "lncRNA (ENSCCEG00000018917.1)". The record is from RNAcentral. Lineage: Eukaryota; Metazoa; Chordata; Aves; Passeriformes; Paridae.